GGGUGCAAUCGCCUGAUAAUCAAAUCAGAUAAUCUGAAGGUGAUUGGGACCAUGCAGGACGGAGGACAGUCAACGGGUGUGGCGGCGGCAAUUUUCGAUGACUGCUUUCACUAUGCAUGUGAUUUUAUCAUGACUAGAUUCGAACAUUGUAAUAAAGAGACAAAUAAAGUAGCACAUGAAUUUGCUAGAUUAACUAGAUUUUCUUCAUCUUUGGAUUGGUUUGAGGAGCCUCUUAAUGAUAUUGUAAUGAUCCUCACAAAUGAUGUACUGGUUAUUUCUAAUAAAUAA
This 288-nucleotide ribosomal RNA is filed under the name Triticum aestivum (bread wheat). RNAcentral's name for it is "partial small subunit ribosomal RNA". The record is from RNAcentral. Lineage: Eukaryota; Viridiplantae; Streptophyta; Magnoliopsida; Poales; Poaceae.